GACGAACGCUGGCGGCGUGCCUAAUACAUGCAAGUAGAACGCACAGUUUAUACCGUAGCUUGCUACACCAUAAACUGUGAGUUGCGAACGGGUGAGUAACGCGUAGGUAACCUGCCUGGUAGCGGGGGAUAACUAUUGGAAACGAUAGCUAAUACCGCAUAAUAUUGAUUAUUGCAUGAUAAUUGAUUGAAAGAUGCUAUUGCAUCACUACCAGAUGGACCUGCGUUGUAUUAGCUAGUAGGUGAGGUAACGGCUCACCUAGGCGACGAUACAUAGCCGACCUGAGAGGGUGAUCGGCCACACUGGGACUGAGACACGGCCCAGACUCCUACGGGAGGCAGCAGUAGGGAAUCUUCGGCAAUGGACGAAAGUCUGACCGAGCAACGCCGCGUGAGUGAAGAAGGUUUUCGGAUCGUAAAGCUCUGUUGUAAGAGAGGAACGGGUGUGAGAGUGGAAAGUUCACACUGUGACGGUAUCUUACCAGAAAGGGACGGCUAACUACGUG
Molecule: ribosomal RNA, 505 nt
Filed under: uncultured bacterium
Lineage: Bacteria
Description: partial 16S ribosomal RNA
Rfam family: Bacterial small subunit ribosomal RNA
Source: RNAcentral